CGCCCGUCGCUCCUACCGAUUGGGUGUGCUGGUGAGAUGUCGGGAUUAGUGGCUGUGGGCGGUUCGCCGCCCUCUGCCGCUGAGAACUUCAUCAAACCCUCCCACCUAGAGGAAGGGGAAGUCGUAACAAGGUUCCU
RNAcentral lists this ribosomal RNA (137 nucleotides) under uncultured Trebouxiophyceae. RNAcentral describes it as "partial small subunit ribosomal RNA". It matches the Rfam family "Eukaryotic small subunit ribosomal RNA", at positions 1670 to 1804 of the family's 1831-position model. Lineage: Eukaryota; Viridiplantae; Chlorophyta; Trebouxiophyceae. The record is from RNAcentral.